GACGAACGCUGGCGGCGUGUCUAACACAUGCAAGUCGAGCGGACGGACGAGACUCUUGCUUCUUUGUCGUUUGCGGCGCACGGGCGUGACACAUGUGGAUCACCUCCUUUAUUGACUGGGAUACCUAGGGGACCCCGGCGCUUAUACCUUAUGAUCUUUUGAACCGCGUUGCUCAAUAGUGAAUUACGGUCUUGCUGUUCCAUAUAGAUGGUUCCCCGCUGCAUUAGCUAGUUGAUAAGGCAACAGCUUAUCAAGGCAACGAUGCAUAUCCGACCUGAUAGGGUGGUUGGCCACACUGGAACGGAGACACGGUCCAUACUCCUACGGGAGGCAGCAGUAGGCAAACUUCCGCAAUGGGCGAAAGCCUUACGGAGCAACGCCGCGGGAGUGAGGAGGGUCGUCGGAUCGUAAAACUCUGUUAUUAGGUAAGAAAAUAUGUGUAAGUAACUGUGCACAUCAUGACGGUUCCUAAGCAGAAAGGCACGGCUAACUUCGGG
RNAcentral lists this ribosomal RNA (497 nucleotides) under uncultured bacterium. Its description in RNAcentral is "partial 16S ribosomal RNA". It matches the Rfam family "Bacterial small subunit ribosomal RNA", at positions 28 to 507 of the family's 1533-position model. The record is from RNAcentral.